UCAUCCCUAACCUCAAUUUUCCCUCGUCUCCACCGUGUUCUACAUCUCUACUUUUACAUUUUUCCGAGAGCUGACUGCAUGUAAACACGGAACCGAACAAGACCAUGGACGUCACUUCCGCUCCCAUGUGGAAAUGGGCGGCAGUUUAACUGCUGCACAUUCGAAUCGGUGGGCGGUUUAACGGCUUCAGCAGGCGGACUGGUUUGAUGUCCUUACACCGCUGCUAGCCAAAUCUGCAUAAAAUGGAUUUCCCGCAAUACCCAGAGAUUAAUGAUACAUCAUAUUUCACAAAAGCAUGCUGAAACCAAUAUACCAAAACCUAUUUGCGCAAGUCAGACCUUGGCUUCAUAACAGCAAGCCAGUGUACUUGGUCUGCUGACGUCCAAAGAUUGUCCUCGAGCCCUUGUGAACUUAAAAUAAACCUACAAGUACCAUAACAAGAAACCAGAAGAAAAAAAUCAUCAGGGAUUUCUUUUCUUGAAAACAGUUUUACUUCUAUUUAAAUUUACCAGCUGUAUAUAUAUCUUGGAAAUAGAGCGGCAAAAAAAGGUUAUUUGACUGAGUAGGGCAGUUGAUAAUCUGUGGUAAUGUCAUGA
This is a long non-coding RNA of Stegostoma tigrinum, 596 nucleotides long. RefSeq lists it as uncharacterized. The record is from RefSeq and is a predicted model, not a curated record. The transcript has 3 exons. Lineage: Eukaryota; Metazoa; Chordata; Chondrichthyes; Orectolobiformes; Stegostomatidae.